AAUGAACGCUGGCGGCAUGCCUAACACAUGCAAGUCGAACGAGACCUGCGGGGCUAUUGGCGCACGGGUGCGUAACGCGUGGGGACCUUCCCUUAGGUUGGGAAUAACUCCCCGAAAGGGGUUCUAAUACCGGAUAAGUGCUUCGUACCAAAGAUCUAUCGCCUUUGUAUGGGCCGGCGUUGGAUUAGGUAGUUGGGAGGGUAAAAGCCUACCAAGGGGACGAUCCAGAGAUUGUCACAGAGGCUGAUCAGCCACACUGGGACUGGGACGCGGCCCAGACUCUUACGCGAAGGAGCAGUGGGGAAUAUUGGAAAACGGGCGAAAGCAUGAUGGAGCUAUGCCGGGUGAGUGCUGAAGGUAUUAGGGUUGUAAAGCUCUUUUAACCGGGCUGAUACUGACAGUACCUAGAGAAUAAGCACCGGCUAACUACGUG
This 433-nucleotide ribosomal RNA is filed under the name uncultured bacterium. RNAcentral's name for it is "partial 16S ribosomal RNA". It matches the Rfam family "Bacterial small subunit ribosomal RNA", at positions 29 to 507 of the family's 1533-position model. The record is from RNAcentral.